This 85-nucleotide small nucleolar RNA is filed under the name Plenodomus lingam JN3. Its description in RNAcentral is "a. fumigatus snoRNA Afu_513". It matches the Rfam family "A. fumigatus snoRNA Afu_513". The record is from Rfam by way of RNAcentral. Lineage: Eukaryota; Fungi; Ascomycota; Dothideomycetes; Pleosporales; Leptosphaeriaceae.
UUUUGUGAUGAUUCCGCACUGGGCACCGACAAUUCUUGAUGGACACGCUCAUUAUGGCAGGCCUAGAAAACCUCGCCGACUGAUC